RNAcentral lists this ribosomal RNA (378 nucleotides) under uncultured bacterium. RNAcentral's name for it is "bacterial SSU rRNA". It matches the Rfam family "Bacterial small subunit ribosomal RNA", at positions 30 to 413 of the family's 1533-position model. The record is from RNAcentral.
AUUGAACGCUGGCGGUAUGCUUAACACAUGCAAGUCGAACGGUAACAGGCCUUCGGGCGCUGACGAGUGGCGGACGGGUGAGUAACGCGUAGGAAUCUGCCUUAUAGUGGGGACAACGUGGGGAAACUCACGCUAAUACCGCAUACGCCCUACGGGGAAAGCGGGGAUCGUAAGACCUCGCGCUAUGAGAUGAGCCUGCGUUAGAUUAGCUAGUUGGUAGGGUAAAGGCCUACCAAGGCGACGAUCUAUAGCUGGUCUGAGAGGACGAUCAGCCACACUGGGACUGAGACACGGCCCAGACUCCUACGGGAGGCAGCAGUGGGGAAUAUUGGACAAUGGGCGCAAGCCUGAUCCAGCAAUACCGCGUGUGUGAAGAAG